RNAcentral lists this ribosomal RNA (264 nucleotides) under uncultured microorganism. RNAcentral's name for it is "partial 16S ribosomal RNA". It matches the Rfam family "Archaeal small subunit ribosomal RNA", at positions 330 to 594 of the family's 1478-position model. The record is from RNAcentral.
GUGCAGCAGGCGCGAAACCUCCGCAAUACACGAAAGUGUGACGGGGCCAUCCCGAGUGCCGUCCGCUGAGGACGGCUUUUCCCCAGUGUACAUAGCUGGGGGAAUAAGGAGAGGGCAAGCCUGGUGUCAGCCGGCCGCGGUAAUACCAGCUCUCCGAGUGGUGGGGACGCUUAUUGGGCCUAAAGCAUCCGUAGCCGGCUGGGCAAGUCCUCCGUUAAAUCCAACGAUUCAAUCGUUGGGCUGGCGGGGGAUACUGUCCAGCUU